AGCGUAGGCGGUUUUUCAAGUGGGGUGUGAAAUCCCUGGGCUUAACCCAGGAAUUGCAUUCCAAACUGGAAGACUAGAGUGCAGGAGAGGAAAGUGGAAUUCCAAGUGUAGCGGUGAAAUGCGUAGAGAUUUGGAGGAACACCAGUGGCGAAGGCGACUUUCUGGACUGUAACUGACGCUGAUGCUCGAGAGCGUGGGGAGCAAACAGGAUUAGAUACCCUGGUAGUCCACGCUGUAAACGAUGAAUACUAGGUGUUGGGGGCGAAGCCCUCAGUGCCGCAGUUAACACAUUAAGUAUUCCGCCUGGGGAGUACGAUCGCAAGAUUAAA
RNAcentral lists this ribosomal RNA (329 nucleotides) under uncultured bacterium. RNAcentral's name for it is "bacterial SSU rRNA". It matches the Rfam family "Bacterial small subunit ribosomal RNA", at positions 568 to 898 of the family's 1533-position model. The record is from RNAcentral.